UGAUCCCUGCAUAUCACCAUCGGUUCAAAAGAAGAACCAACACUUUUUUAUUGGGAGUUCGGCGCCAGCCGUGACGGACAGGCCCCAUUUCUGCAUUUAUGCACAGGGGAAGCCCAACACGGGUGGGAGGACACCCACCGUACAUAGUACGGUUCUCUCUUCUUGCCGUUGGGAUGAUGCAGGGUUUCU
This 189-nucleotide non-coding RNA is filed under the name Candidatus Electryonea clarkiae. RNAcentral's name for it is "6S RNA". It matches the Rfam family "6S / SsrS RNA". From Rfam's summary of the family: E. coli 6S RNA was the first non coding RNA to be sequenced, but its function was unknown until recently. The record is from RNAcentral. Lineage: Bacteria; Pseudomonadati; Candidatus Electryoneota; Candidatus Electryoneia; Candidatus Electryoneales; Candidatus Electryoneaceae.